Molecule: ribosomal RNA, 447 nt
Filed under: uncultured bacterium
Lineage: Bacteria
Description: SSU rRNA
Rfam family: Bacterial small subunit ribosomal RNA
Source: RNAcentral
AGAGCGAACGCUGGCGGCAGGCCUAACACAUGCAAGUCGAGCGCGUGUAGCAAUACACGAGCGGCAGACGGGAGAGUAACACGUGGGAACGCGCCCUUCGGUUCGGAAUAACUCAGGGAAACUUGAGCUAAUACCGGAUACGCCCUUACGGGGAAAGAUUUAUUGCCGAGGGAACGGCCCGCGUCCGAUUAGCUAGUUGGUGAGGUAACGGCUCACCAAGGCGACGAUCGGUAGCUGGUCUGAGAGGAUGACCAGCCUCACUGGGACUGAGACACGGCCCAGACUCCUACGGGAGGCAGCAGUGGGGAAUAUUGGACAAUGGGCGCAAGCCUGAUCCAGCCAUGCCGCGUGGAUGAUGAAGGCCUUAGGGUUGUAAAGUCCUUUUAACGGGGAAGAUAAUGACGGUACCCGUAGAAUAAGCCCGGCUAACUUCGUGCCAGCAGCCGC